Odontomachus brunneus is the source of this 1335-nucleotide long non-coding RNA. RefSeq lists it as uncharacterized. The record is from RefSeq and is a predicted model, not a curated record. The transcript has 3 exons. Lineage: Eukaryota; Metazoa; Arthropoda; Insecta; Hymenoptera; Formicidae.
ACGUAACUUCCACGCUGACGGAAGAUUAGAGAUCUCGCACGUGACAGCUCGAGCGUUCCUUGAACGAUUCCACGUGCGUCGUAUAUAUACUGAGAAAAAAUGUCUGAUAUUUGUAAGUAUAAUUUCACAAUAAGUAUGGAGAAAUGAUCACUAAUUACGACCAAGAAGGCCGUUUUUCUCUAUGAAAUUCUACUAUGAUGUUAGUUCUAUUAUGAUAAUUAUUAAUGUGGAUAUUGUGAUACUGUCGUGUUAAGACGACCAAAAAGUACGAUUGAGACCAAAAAUAACUAUACGUCUAUUCGUUUUCGAAGAACUCCUAUAUCAGUGCAAGUAGUUAGAGUAAAGCAGGUAUAUUCUUUCACUCUAGAACUUUUUUAUUUUAUUGCAGUAUAUACUAGUUCAAAAGUUCUUUGGAAAUGAACAGGCCUUGUAAUUUUAUAGCUAGAUCAAGCAUUUCUCUCUCUUUCUUUCUCUCUCUCUCUCUCUCUCUCUCUCUCUCUCUCUCUCUCUCUCUCUCUGUCUCUCUCUUGAUGUAUUCUACAUUAAAUGUAUUCCUGGCAAAAACUCACCAAGAUGUCGUACUGAUCGAGCUUGCCGAUCAGGUUGGUGAAGGAACUCCUAUCGGCGAACAACCAGAUACCGACAGUCAACGCCGCACCUCCGGCAAUCUGCAAAGCACAAACUUAAUGUAGUACGUCUCCGUUCUGCAUCGCGGACUUCAAGGCUGGCUCCAAGGAAGCAAGCCCGGUAUUCUGCCCGGUGGCGAAGCGCCGGCAUCGUGCAAUUCACGCGAUCGAAAAGUUUCACCUGCGAUCGCUCUUCGCUCCGUGGCGACCGCAUUGCGAUUCCUUCGAUUCGCUCGAAGAUACCGAGUGACUCAACAACACGGUGCCGGCGCUGCCGGCGCGUGAUGCAGCUGACGAAAUCGUUCAGCGGAAUUAUCUCGAGAUCGCCACUAAUUGCAAAGACUUUGAUUUAUAUUCAGUCGCGAGUGUGUGAGCAGAAAUUUCCUUCAAAAUUUGUAGCGUCUUAUGGAAGAAGAGAUAUCUUUGUGAGGAGAAAUUGAGGAAACGGAGGAAACUUGUCCCCGCAUCUGACAAUUUGUCCGGAAAUUGAAAACCCGCGAGAAUGGAGCACCAUGAAAAUCAUAUAAUUAACAUCGUACACUACCCGAGGCAAGGAUUCGAGCAAAGUGCGUUUACGCGAUUGCGACUGGUUGCGAGGUUGAUAAAUUAUCAGCCGUGUGAUCUUAGCGGCGCGAAAUGCAGACACGGCGGGCUCCUUCGCGCUUGAAGUUACCACUAUAGAAACUCGUUGUGUAUACUCACGAAGAAA